AAGUGCUGUGAGCCACAAGUAACAUCAAGAAAAGACAGGGAUGAAGAACCGCACUUACAAGCUAAGUGUAAGCUCAUCCUACACAUGUCAUUUGGACCAGACCAAGGCUGCUGUCAUGGAGGACCCACACCACAGCUUGGGAACCAUUCAUCUACCAGAGGGUCACAUGACUUCAAAUGACUCUUCUAGGGGCCACCUGCCAUGAUAGGGUACCAGCUCUUCCUCUGAAUUCCCAAUCCAUUUCUUGAGAACUACUGUUUCUAAUAAGAGGGGAAGAAGGUCAUGUGGGAAUCAGUUAAAUCACGUGUGGAUAGAAGACAAGUUCCAGCUUUGUGGGAAAUCCUGUAGCCUUCGCCAGGUACACCCUGACAAUCUCAGAACUGAUCAGAGUUUUUGUUCCAUGUGAGAUACCCACGCCACUUUAAAAAACAAACUAUCCUGACAUCUAAUUACUUUGUGAAUGAUUGUAAUGGCAAUAACAAUAGAGAUGGAAGAAUUUUGGAAACAA
This 508-nucleotide long non-coding RNA is filed under the name Homo sapiens (human). RNAcentral describes it as "novel transcript". Lineage: Eukaryota; Metazoa; Chordata; Mammalia; Primates; Hominidae. The record is from RNAcentral.